GUUAGGCCCAAAGGUAGUGAGUUAUCUCAAUUGAUUGUUCAGUCAGUUAUAUAUUAAACUCCUUGUUCUACUUUUUCCCUGCUUCUCACUACUGCACACAGCUAGUCUUAA
Molecule: Y RNA, 111 nt
Filed under: Piliocolobus tephrosceles (Ugandan red Colobus)
Lineage: Eukaryota; Metazoa; Chordata; Mammalia; Primates; Cercopithecidae
Description: Y RNA (ENSPTEG00000036506.1)
Rfam family: Y RNA
About the family: Y RNAs are components of the Ro ribonucleoprotein particle (Ro RNP), in association with Ro60 and La proteins. The Y RNAs and Ro60 and La proteins are well conserved, but the function of the Ro RNP is not known.
Source: Rfam by way of RNAcentral